This 216-nucleotide ribosomal RNA is filed under the name Glomeromycotina sp. Its description in RNAcentral is "partial small subunit ribosomal RNA". The stretch from base 75 to 216 matches the Rfam family "Eukaryotic small subunit ribosomal RNA", at positions 721 to 864 of the family's 1831-position model. Lineage: Eukaryota; Fungi; Glomeromycota. The record is from RNAcentral.
GGGUCAGUAGGUUGGUCGUGCCACCGGUACGUACUGGUCUCACUGAUUCCUCCCUCCUGAAGAACCGUAAUGCCAUUAAUUUGGUGUUGCGGGGAAACAGGACUGUUACCUUGAAAAAAUUAGAGUGUUUAAAGCAAGCUAACGCUUGAAUACAUUAGCAUGGAAUAAUGAAAUAGGACGAUCGAUCCUAUUUUGUUGGUUUCUAGGAUUGACGUA